RNAcentral lists this transfer RNA (75 nucleotides) under Blautia hydrogenotrophica. RNAcentral's name for it is "tRNA-Ile(tat)". It matches the Rfam family "tRNA". Rfam says of the family: Transfer RNA (tRNA) molecules are approximately 80 nucleotides in length. Their secondary structure includes four short double-helical elements and three loops (D, anti-codon, and T loops). The record is from RNAcentral. Lineage: Bacteria; Bacillati; Bacillota; Clostridia; Lachnospirales; Lachnospiraceae. RNAcentral also lists the same sequence under 1 other name.
UUGGGACAUAGCGCAGUUGGUAGAGCACCUGUCUUAUACACAGCAAGUCCCCGGUUCGAUUCCGGGUGUCCCGAU